GGACUACUAGGGUAUCUAAUCCUGUUCGCUACCCACGCUUUCGCUCCUCAGCGUCAGGUAAGGCCCAGAGAGCCGCCUUCGCCACCGGUGUUCUUCCUGAUAUCUGCGCAUUCCACCGCUACACCAGGAGUUCCGCUCUCCCCUGCCUACCUCUAGUCUGCCCGUAUCGGAAGCAGGCUCGGGGUUAAGCCCCGAGUUUUCACUCCCGACGUGACGAACCGCCUACGAGCCCUUUACGCCCAAUAAUUCCGGACAACGCUCGGACCCUACGUAUUACCGCGGCUGCUGGCAC
RNAcentral lists this ribosomal RNA (292 nucleotides) under uncultured bacterium. RNAcentral's name for it is "partial 16S ribosomal RNA". The record is from RNAcentral.